This 253-nucleotide ribosomal RNA is filed under the name uncultured bacterium. RNAcentral's name for it is "partial 16S ribosomal RNA". It matches the Rfam family "Bacterial small subunit ribosomal RNA", at positions 524 to 776 of the family's 1533-position model. The record is from RNAcentral.
GACGGAGGGAGCUAGUGUUAUUCGGAUUUACUGGGCGUAAAGGGCGCGUAGGCGGGCUAGUAAGUUAAAAGUAAAAUCCCAGGGCUUAACCUUGGAAUCGCUUUUAAUACUGCUAGUCUAGAGUUAAGUAGAGGGUAAUGGAAUUUCUAGUGUAGAGGUGGAAUUCUUAGAUAUUAGAAGGAACACCAGUGGCGAAAGCGAUUACCUGGGCUUUUACUGACGCUGAGGCGCGAAAGCGUGGGGAGCAAACAGG